UUAAAGGAAUUGACGGAAGGGCACACAAGGAUUGGAGCCUGCGGCUUAAUUUGACUCAACACGGGAAAGCUCACCCGAACCGGACACAAGAAGGAUUGACAGAUUAAGAGCUCUUUCUUGAUUUUGUGGGUGGUGGUGCAUGGCCGCUCUUAGUUGGUGGAGCGAUUUGUCUGGUUCAUUCCGAUAACGAACGAGAUUCCAGCCUGCUAAAUAGACGUCCCGGUCCUCCCAGCCGGACGGUCUUCUUAGAGGGACAGGCGGCAUAGAGUCGCACGAAGCGGA
This 282-nucleotide ribosomal RNA is filed under the name Symphytognathidae sp. SYMP-004-THAI. Its description in RNAcentral is "partial 18S ribosomal RNA". It matches the Rfam family "Eukaryotic small subunit ribosomal RNA", at positions 1144 to 1449 of the family's 1831-position model. Lineage: Eukaryota; Metazoa; Arthropoda; Arachnida; Araneae; Symphytognathidae. The record is from RNAcentral.